UAACUGACGCCACGCUUCCAGGAAAAGCCUCUAAGCUUCAGGUCACAUUGGACCGUACCGAAAACCGACACUGGUGGGCGAGCAGAUAAUCUGCCAAGGCGCUUGAGAGAACUCGGGUUAAGGAACUCUGCAAAUUGAUACCGUAACUUCGGAAGAAGGUAUGCCUUCGAUGGUGAAAGGACUUGCUCCUCUAGCUAUUGAAGGUCGCAGGUAAUCGGUGGCUGCAACUGUUUAUCAAAAACACAGGACUCUGCGAACACGUAAGUGGAAGUAUAGGGUCUGACGCCUGCCCGGUGCCGGAAGGUUAAUUGAUGGGGUUAGCCGCAAGGCGAAGCUCUUGAUCGAAGCCCCGGUAAACGGCGGCCGUAACUAUAACGGUCCUAAGGUAGCGAAAUUCCUUGUCGGGUAAGUUCCGACCUGCACGAAUGGCGUAAUGAUAGCCACACUGUCUCGACCCGAGACUCAGUGAAGUUGAAAUCGCUGUGAAGAUGCGGCGUUCCCGCGGCAAGACGGAAAGACCCCGUGAACCUUCACUACAGCUUUACACUGAACUUUGAACCUUCUUGUGUAGGAUAGGUGGGAGGCUAUGAAGUCUGGGCGCUAGCUCGGAUGGAGCCAACCUUGAAAUACCACCCUGGAAUGUUCGGAGUUCUAACCUUGUCCCGUAAUCCGGGAUGGGGACAGUGUAUGGUGGGUAGUUUGACUGGGGCGGUCUCCUCCCAAAGAGUAACGGAGGAGUGCAAAGGUACGCUCAGCGCGGUCGGUCAUCGCGCUCUAGAGUGCAAAGGCAUAAGCGUGCUUAACUGCGAGACGGACAUGUCGAGCAGGUACGAAAGUAGGUCUUAGUGAUCCGGUGGUUCUGUAUGGAAGGGCCAUCGCUCAACGGAUAAAAGGUACUCCGGGGAUAACAGGCUUAUUCCUCCCAAGAGUCCACAUCGACGGAGGAGUUUGGCACCUCGAUGUCGGCUCAUCACAUCCUGGGGCUGUAGCAGGUCCCAAGGGUAUGGCUGUUCGCCAUUUAAAGUGGUACGCGAGCUGGGUUCAGAACGUCGUGAGACAGUUCGGUCCCUAUCUGCCGUGGGCGUUGGAAACUUGAGGGUGAGCUGUCCUUAGUACGAGAGGACCGGGAUGGACGUAUCUCUGGUGUUCCGGUUGUCACGCCAGUGGCACUGCCGGGUAGCUAUAUACGGACGGGAUAAGCGCUGAAAGCAUCUAAGCGCGAAGCCCCCCCCAAGAUUAGGUUUCCCUGGGAACUCGAUUCCCCUAAAGGGCCGUCGAAGACUACGACGUUGAUAGGCUGGGUGUGUAAGUGCAGCAAUGCAUUGAGCUAACGAGUACUAAUUGCCCGUGAGGCUUGACCGU
This 1362-nucleotide ribosomal RNA is filed under the name metagenome. RNAcentral's name for it is "bacterial LSU rRNA". It matches the Rfam family "Bacterial large subunit ribosomal RNA", at positions 1591 to 2925 of the family's 2925-position model. The record is from RNAcentral.